GAUGUUAAGCGUGUAGGAUAACGUUGCGUCAGCAACGGCCCGUAGGGCGAGCGAAGCGAGUCAUCCUGCACGACCCACCA
RNAcentral lists this small RNA (80 nucleotides) under Escherichia coli. RNAcentral's name for it is "partial RtT sRNA". It matches the Rfam family "RtT RNA", at positions 45 to 130 of the family's 130-position model. Rfam says of the family: This family represents a bacterial cis-regulatory element known as RtT RNA. Lineage: Bacteria; Pseudomonadati; Pseudomonadota; Gammaproteobacteria; Enterobacterales; Enterobacteriaceae. The record is from RNAcentral.